GUAGGAUGUUGUUUCAAUUUAGGGUUUAUUAGAUUUUUUUUUCUCUUCUCAUUUGUUAAUCUUCAUUGAUUGAUUUAAGAGACAUACCGAUGAUAUUUUGUCUGGAUAACUAAUAUUUUAUGAAUGGAUAAUUUUGGAACUAUAUUUUAUUCUCAUCUAUGGCAGAAGUUAUUGUUAGAUCCUCGUUUGGAGUUUGAUUAUUGAUCAAUGCUGAUUUUGUUGCAAUUUAAGAGUUAUAACUUCAUUUAAGGUUUCUGAUUUAGUCCAUGUCAUUGUGAAACUAAGAUAAUGACUUAUUGUGUCCAAUGAAUUUGCCCAAUUAGUAAGUACUUUGGGCUAAAGUAUAAUAUUUCAGUAUCUUUUGCAUAUUUUUUCCCUUUGGAAUCUUGCUGUGAUAUUGUAACUUUUUUUGGUAAUGAUCCUAGUUUGGUAAGGCUUGAGACUUGGAAUCCCACAUUGAAAGUAUGGGAUU
This 472-nucleotide unclassified non-coding RNA is filed under the name Hevea brasiliensis (rubber tree). Lineage: Eukaryota; Viridiplantae; Streptophyta; Magnoliopsida; Malpighiales; Euphorbiaceae. The record is from RNAcentral.